GACGAACGCUGGCGGCGUGCCUAAUACAUGCAAGUCGAACGAGAGCGACCGGUGCUUGCACUGGUCAAUCUAGUGGCGAACGGGUGAGUAACACGUGGGUAACCUGCCCAUCAGAGGGGGAUAACAUCCGGAAACGGAUGCUAAAACCGCAUAGGUCUUCGAGCCGCAUGGCUUGAAGAGGAAAAGAGGCGCACGCUUCUGCUGAUGGAUGGACCCGCGGUGCAUUAGCUAGUUGGUGAGGUAACGGCUCACCAAGGCCGCGAUGCAUAGCCGACCUGAGAGGGUGAUCGGCCACAUUGGGACUGAGACACGGCCCAAACUCCUACGGGAGGCAGCAGUAGGGAAUCUUCCGCAAUGGACGCAAGUCUGACGGAGCAACGCCGCGUGAGUGAAGAAGGUUUUCGGAUCGUAAAACUCUGUUGUUAGAGAAGAACAAGUGCUAGAGUAACUGUUAGCGCCUUGACGGUAUCUAACCAGAAAGCCACGGCUAACUACGUG
This 498-nucleotide ribosomal RNA is filed under the name uncultured bacterium. Its description in RNAcentral is "partial 16S ribosomal RNA". It matches the Rfam family "Bacterial small subunit ribosomal RNA", at positions 28 to 507 of the family's 1533-position model. The record is from RNAcentral.